AUAAGCCAUGCAUGUCUAAGUACAGGCUUUGGUACAGCGAAACCGCGAAUGGCUCAUUAAAUCAGCUAUAAUUUAUUAGAUUGUUCUCUACUUGGAUAACUGUGGGAAUUCUAGAGCUAAUACAUGCGCAAAAGCUCCGACCUUCGGGGAGGAGUGCAGUUAUUAGACCAAAACCAGCCGAGCUUCGGCUCGAACUGUUUGGUGACUCUGGAUAACGAUCAGCGGAUCGCAUGGCCUUGUGCCGGCGACAUAUCUUUCAAGUGUCUGACCUAUCAACUGACGAUGGUACGCGAUAUGCCUACCAUGGUGAUAACGGGUAACGGAGAAUAAGGGUUCGACUCCGGAGAGGGAGCCUGAGAAAUGGCUACCACAUCCAAGGAUGGCAGCAGGCGCGCAAAUUACCCACUCUCAGUACGAGGAGGUAGUGACGAAAAAUAACAAUGCGGGACUCUAUGAGGCCUCGCAAUUGGAAUGAGCGCACUUUAAAUCGUUCGACGAGGAUCUAUUGGAGGGCAAGUCUGGUGCCAGCAGCCGCGGUAAUUCCAGCUCCAAUAGCGUAUAUUAAAGUUGUUGCAGUUAAAAAGCUCGUAGUUGGAUCUGGGGUUCGGGUCGGUGGUUUGCCGCUCUGCGGCUACUGCCGUGCUCGACUCUUACUAGCCGGUGCGUCUCGCGGUGCUCUUCAUUGAGUGCCACGAGAGCCUGGCAUGUUUACUUUGAAAAAAUUAGAGUGCUCAAAGCAGGCGCUUGCGCCUGAAUAGUGUUGCAUGGAAUAAUGGAAUAGGACCUCGGUUCUAUUUUGUUGGUUUUCGGAACUUGAGGUAAUGAUUAAGAGGGACGGUCGGGGGCAUUCGUAUUUCGGUGUUAGAGGUGAAAUUCUUGGAUCGCUGAAAGACGGACAAAUGCGAAAGNUUUUUGCCAAGAA
This 922-nucleotide ribosomal RNA is filed under the name Stenostomum bryophilum. RNAcentral describes it as "SSU rRNA". It matches the Rfam family "Eukaryotic small subunit ribosomal RNA", at positions 44 to 964 of the family's 1831-position model. Lineage: Eukaryota; Metazoa; Platyhelminthes; Stenostomidae. The record is from RNAcentral.